Hordeum vulgare subsp. vulgare (domesticated barley) is the source of this 1850-nucleotide RNA transcript. RefSeq lists it as uncharacterized. Lineage: Eukaryota; Viridiplantae; Streptophyta; Magnoliopsida; Poales; Poaceae. The record is from RefSeq and is a predicted model, not a curated record. The transcript has 4 exons.
CAGUUCAUGCACGAGAUGGCGCCAUCCAAGCCCGCCGCCGCCUUGCUCCUCGCCUUGGCCGUCCUGCUCGCGGCCGCGCAGCCGUUGUCCGCCAUCAGAGUCAAGCCCGCCUGCGCCCCGGUCGUUAAGCCAUCGCCGCCUCCUCCCGUAGCUUCCCCACCGCCGCCGCCGACCCCGGUGAUCAGCAACCCACCCCCAUCCGUCCCUGCUUCCCCAGCGCCACCGAGCCCAGUGAUCAGCAGCCCACCGCCAUCCGUCCCUGCUUCCCCGCCGCCACCGAGCCCAGUGAUCACCAACCCAACCCCAUCCGUCCCUGCUUCACCACCACCGGUCACCCCACCACCAGCCACGGUCUCGCCGCCGUCGCAGCCGACGGAGUGCCUCACGCCGUUGAUGGGGCUGACGCCAUGCAUGGGCUACCUCACCAACACCAGCGUGGCGACGCCCCCGGCCGCGUGCUGCGGCGCCUUCAAGUCUCUGGUGGACAUCGCCCCUAUCUGCCUCUGCCACGGCCUGAACGGGGACAUCAACAAGAUCAUGCCCGCGCCCAUGGACUUCAUGCGCAUGAUGUCCCUCCCGGGAAACUGCGCCGUCCCGCUGCCAAUGCAGACGCUUGCCCAGUGCGCCACGGCACCUGUGCCACCACUGGACCCUCCUACCACCCCAGCAGCCCCAUCUCCAAGAAAGAAGGCGGGGGCGCAUGGGGAGGUAGGCGUCGGCCGCUGCAGGAGCGAUUUGACUGCUGAAAAUGGUGCUGGUGGUGAAGCAGCACCGCUGCACGCACUCGGCGUCCUGCUCCUGCACCAAGGGCCACCUCAGCGAGGACGCGCUGUUCCUCGUCUUCCGCCACAUGAACUGGAACCCCAGGCUGAUCGCCAACCUCUCCUGCGUCUGCAAGUGGUUCGACGAGGUCGCCAAGCAGGUGCUGUGGAAGGAGUUCUGCCAUGCCAGGGCGCCCAAGAUGAUGCUGGAUCUGCAUUCCGACGGCAGCCACAUUGUCGACGGCAACUGGAAGGCGCUCGGGAAGCUGCUCAUCUACUGCAAUGGCUGCACCAAGGGGGGCUUGUUUGGAAACAUUCAUGUCCCUGGGCACUUUGUUUUCAGGACGCGCUUUUCAAGGACCGCAGGCAAGAGCUUCCUGCCUCUGCAGUGUAGGAUGGAUGUCUUGUAUGUGUCCGAUCCAUGCGAACAUCUUGAUCAGGGGGAAGAAGGUGACUUGGGUUUUUUCCGUGGCAUCUUCAAGUCGUUUGCUACUUCAAGGGUCAAAAAGAUCCUGAUUGAGAAGCAGGCUAGGUUCCAUCAAACGGAGGUUUGCCCCUAUUGCAAGGCUAAGCUAUGGAACAUGCUGCACGCAGAUAUGAUGCCUGCUAGUGCUUCCGCCAGGCUGGGUGCUUACGAUGAUUCCGUGGAGUACUUUGUAUGCCUGAAUGGACAUGUUAUUGGUUUGGGUACCCUGCUACCUCUCUCGGAUUCUGAGGAGGCACCAGAGGAAUAAUCAUCAGGAACAUUGAUCAGGUUGCAAGAUGGAGUCCUGGGGCUUGUGGCCUAUUGCUGCUGAAUCUUGGUUGUGUCUAACGGCGAGAAGUCAUGGGCGCGCAAAACUGCAAGGCGAGAAGAACGUGCAGCUAGCUUUCAUCUAACUGCAGUGUUGUCUGAUGAAAAUGCUAUUUCUCUGUGCUCUUGUCUGUUGAUUGAUUCCAUGUUACCUGUUCUCGUCAUUGUAAUGACCAUGCCGACCUUUGGUCUUGUCCUACAUGUGCAGAGCAUAUGUAGCAAGGCGUGAUGAGACCGAGUUGUAAAAUUGGUGCCUAUAUUGGACCUCAUAUAUUCAUGUGCUGUUCCUACCUGCA